UCCCACAAUCCACUACGGGAAAGCCUCGUUCAAUGGCUUCUGUUUGGAUGAGUCGGUUAUCCUAUGGCACACCGCGAAUUCUCCGGAGGAAGAAUUUAAAUUGACAGAGGAAGAAGGUUGGCCAAGUGGUUCCUCGUUAGUAUAGUGGUACAUCUGUGUGCAGGUCUGAAAAUCCAUGUUAUACUGGAGUCCUCAGCACAGAAGAAAACUCAAGGCAGCCAAAUUGAGAUGUAGGGCACUGAAGAUUUAUAUGUGGUGCUUUUGGCUUCCUUGUGUAAGAAAUAAAAUGAUACCACACACAAAAAAAAUUCUGGUAAA
Molecule: long non-coding RNA, 318 nt
Organism: Podarcis raffonei (Aeolian wall lizard)
Lineage: Eukaryota; Metazoa; Chordata; Lepidosauria; Squamata; Lacertidae
Exons: 2
Source: RefSeq, a predicted model, not a curated record